GGUGAGUAACGCGUGAGCAACCUGCCUAUGACAGUGGGAUAGCCUCGGGAAACCGGGAUUAAUACCGCAUAAAAUCGUAGAAACACAUGUUUUAACGGUCAAAGAUUUAUCGGUCAUAGAUGGGCUCGCGUCUGAUUAGCUAGUUGGUGAGAUAACAGCCCACCAAGGCGACGAUCAGUAGCCGGUCUGAGAGGAUGAACGGCCACAUUGGAACUGAGACACGGUCCAA
Molecule: ribosomal RNA, 229 nt
Filed under: uncultured Eubacteriales bacterium
Lineage: Bacteria; Bacillati; Bacillota; Clostridia; Eubacteriales
Description: uncultured Clostridiales bacterium partial 16S ribosomal RNA
Rfam family: Bacterial small subunit ribosomal RNA
Source: RNAcentral